CCAGACUCCUACGGGAGGCAGCAGUGGGGAAUAUUGCACAAUGGGGGAAACCCUGAUGCAGCGACGCCGCGUGAGCGAUGAAGUAUUUCGGUAUGUAAAGCUCUAUCAGCAGGGAAGAAAAUGACGGUACCUGACUAAGAAGCCCCGGCUAACUACGUGCCAGCAGCCGCGGUAAUACGUAGGGGGCAAGCGUUAUCCGGAUUUACUGGGUGUAAAGGGAGCGUAGACGGCGGUGCAAGCCAGAUGUGAAAGCCCGCGGCCCAACCGCGGGACUGCAUUGGGAACUACCGGGCUGGAGUGCCGGAGAGGUAGGCGGAAUUCCUGGUGUAGCGGUGAAAUGCGUAGAUAUCAGGAGGAACACCGGUGGCGAAGGCGGCCUGCUGGACUGCGACUGACGUUGAGGCCCGAAAGCGUGGGGAGCAAACAGGAUUAGAUACCCGUGUAA
This 445-nucleotide ribosomal RNA is filed under the name uncultured bacterium. RNAcentral describes it as "partial 16S ribosomal RNA". It matches the Rfam family "Bacterial small subunit ribosomal RNA", at positions 331 to 793 of the family's 1533-position model. The record is from RNAcentral.